GCCCCAGUGGCCUAAUGGAUAAGGCACUGGCCUCCUAAGCCAGGGAUUGUGGGUUAGAGUCCCGUCUGGGGUG
This 73-nucleotide transfer RNA is filed under the name Gadus morhua (Atlantic cod). RNAcentral's name for it is "tRNA-Arg (CCT) (tRNA-Arg-CCT-5-1)". It matches the Rfam family "tRNA". Rfam says of the family: Transfer RNA (tRNA) molecules are approximately 80 nucleotides in length. Their secondary structure includes four short double-helical elements and three loops (D, anti-codon, and T loops). RNAcentral also lists the same sequence under 1 other name. Lineage: Eukaryota; Metazoa; Chordata; Actinopteri; Gadiformes; Gadidae. The record is from Rfam by way of RNAcentral.